AGCAACCUGCCCCUGACUCUGGGAUAAGCGGUGGAAACGCCGUCUAAUACCGGAUACGACCUUCCAGCUCAUGCUGGAGGGUGGAAAGUUUUAUCGGUCAGGGAUGGGCUCGCGGCCUAUCAGCUUGUUGGUGGGGUAACGGCCUACCAAGGCGAUUACGGGUAGCCGGCCUGAGAGGGCGACCGGCCACACUGGGACUGAGACACGGCCCAGACUCCUGCGGGAGGCAGCAGUGGGGAAUAUUGCACAAUGGGCGAAAGCCUGAUGCAGCGACGCCGCGUGGGGGAUGACGGCCUUCGGGUUGUAAACCUCUUUUACCACCAACGCAGGCUCCACGUUCUCGUGGGGUUGACGGUAGGUGGGGAAUAAGGACCGGCUAACUACGUGCCAGCAGCCGCGGUAAUACGUAGGGUCCGAGCGUUGUCCGGAAUUAUUGGGCGUAAAGAGCUCGUAGGCGGCGUGUCACGUCUGCUGUGAAAGACCGGGGCUUAACUCCGGUUCUGCAGUGGAUACGGGCAUGCUAGAGGUAGGUAGGGGAGACUGGAAUUCCUGGUGUAGCGGUGAAAUGCGCAGAUAUCAGGAGGAACACCGGUGGCGAAGGCGGGUCUCUGGGCCUUACCUGACGCUGAGGAGCGAAAGCAUGGGGAGCGAACAGGAUUAGAUACCCUGGUAGUCCAUGCCGUAAACGUUGGGCGCUAGG
RNAcentral lists this ribosomal RNA (700 nucleotides) under Nocardiopsis sp. EGI80093. Its description in RNAcentral is "bacterial SSU rRNA". It matches the Rfam family "Bacterial small subunit ribosomal RNA", at positions 120 to 820 of the family's 1533-position model. Lineage: Bacteria; Bacillati; Actinomycetota; Actinomycetes; Streptosporangiales; Nocardiopsidaceae. The record is from RNAcentral.